CGUCGGUUCUCCCGCGACGAUUAGCCGUGAACCCCGUCAGGCCUGGAAGGGAGCAGCGGCAGCGGUCAAAUUGGGUGCCGGAGAUGAGCUGGCGCGG
Molecule: signal recognition particle RNA, 97 nt
Filed under: Gammaproteobacteria bacterium
Lineage: Bacteria; Pseudomonadati; Pseudomonadota; Gammaproteobacteria
Description: signal recognition particle sRNA small type
Rfam family: Bacterial small signal recognition particle RNA
About the family: The signal recognition particle (SRP) is a universally conserved ribonucleoprotein involved in the co-translational targeting of proteins to membranes. Archaeal SRP consists of a 7S RNA and homologues of the eukaryotic SRP19 and SRP54 proteins.
Source: RNAcentral